GGCGUAAACAAAGGGAAGCGAGACGGUGACGUUAAGCAAAUCCCAGAAAUAACGUCCCAGUUCGGAUUGUAGUCUGCAACCCGACUACAUGAAGCUGGAAUCGCUAGUAAUCGCGAAUCAGAAUGUCGCGGUGAAUACGUUCCCGGGUCUUGUACACACCGCCCGUCACACCAUGGGAGUCGGAAAUGCCCGAAGUCAGUGACCCAACCGUAAGGAGGGAGCUGCCGAAGGUGGAGCCGGUAACUGGGGUGAAGUCGUAACAAGGUAGC
Molecule: ribosomal RNA, 269 nt
Filed under: uncultured bacterium
Lineage: Bacteria
Description: partial 16S ribosomal RNA
Rfam family: Bacterial small subunit ribosomal RNA
Source: RNAcentral